UGUAAAAUUGGGGAAUUUAACGAGCCUUGCUCUUAUGAAGUUAGCGGCGGACGGGUGUUUUAAAUGGGGGGUAACCUGCCCAUAAGACUGGGAUAACUCCCUUCAAACCGGGGCUAAUACCGGAUAACAUUUUGAACCGCAUGGUUCGAAAUUGAAAGGCGGCUUCGGCUGUCACUUAUGGAUGGACCCGCGUCGCAUUAGCUAGUUGGUGAGGUAACGGCUCACCAAGGCAACGAUGCGUAGCCGACCUGAGAGGGUGAUCGGCCACACUGGGACUGAGACACGGCCCAGACUCCUACGGGAGGCAGCAGUAGGGAAUCUUCCGCAAUGGACGAAAGUCUGACGGAGCAACGCCGCGUGAGUGAUGAAGGCUUUCGGGUCGUAAAACUCUGUUGUUAGGGAAGAACAAGUGCUAGUUGAAUAAGCUGGCACCUUGACGGUACCUAACCAGAAAGCCACGGCUAACUACGUGCCAGCAGCCGCGGUAAUACGUAGGUGGCCAGCGUUAUCCGGAAUUAUUGGGCGUAAAGCGCGCGCAGGUGGUUUCUUAAGUCUGAUGUGAAAGCCCACGGCUCAACCGUGGAGGGUCUUUGGAAAACUGGAAAAACUUGAGUGCAGAAGAGGAAAGUGGGAAUUCCAUGUGUAGCGGUGAAAUGCCGUAAAAGAUAUGGGAGGAACACCCAGUGGCGAAGGCGACUUUCUGGUCUUGUAACUGACACUGAGGCGCGAAAGCGUGGGGGAGCAAACAGGGAUAUGAUCACCCUGGGUAGUCCCACGCCCGAAACCGGAUGGAGUUGCUAGUGUUAGAGGGUUUCCCGCCCUUUUUAGAGCUGAAGUUCACGCAUUAAAGCACUCCCGCCUUGGGAGAUGAUACGGUCCGGCAAGGGUCUGAAAAACUCAAAAGUGAGAAUUUUUGACGCGGCGGCC
RNAcentral lists this ribosomal RNA (927 nucleotides) under Bacillus cereus. RNAcentral's name for it is "bacterial SSU rRNA". It matches the Rfam family "Bacterial small subunit ribosomal RNA", at positions 65 to 873 of the family's 1533-position model. Lineage: Bacteria; Bacillati; Bacillota; Bacilli; Caryophanales; Bacillaceae. The record is from RNAcentral.